UACGUAGGGGGCUAGCGUUGUCCGGAAUCAUUGGGCGUAAAGCGCGUGUAGGCGGUCCGGUAAGUCCGCUGUGAAAGUCGGGGGCUCAACCCUCGGAUGCCGGUGGAUACUGUCGGGCUUGAGUACGGGAGAGGAGAGUGGAAUUCCCAGUGUAGAGGUGAAAUUCGUAGAUAUUGGGAAGAACACCGGUGGCGAAGGCGGCUCUCUGGACCGUAACUGACGCUGAGGCGCGAAAGCGUGGGGAGCAAACAGG
Molecule: ribosomal RNA, 253 nt
Filed under: uncultured bacterium
Lineage: Bacteria
Description: partial 16S ribosomal RNA
Rfam family: Bacterial small subunit ribosomal RNA
Source: RNAcentral